GACAACUCUCCCUAAGGAAGUCGGCAAAAUAGCCCUGUAACUUCGAGCGAAGGGGUGCCUCUUCACAAAGGGGGGUCCCAGUGACAUGCCCAAGCGACUGUUUACCAAAAACACAGUUCUCCGCAAAAUUGUAAGACCAUGUAUAGGGGGCGCAUAAAAGUUGAAAUAAGCAUGUCUAUGGGGAGUGGC
Molecule: non-coding RNA, 189 nt
Filed under: Vitis vinifera (wine grape)
Lineage: Eukaryota; Viridiplantae; Streptophyta; Magnoliopsida; Vitales; Vitaceae
Description: Bacterial large subunit ribosomal RNA
Rfam family: Bacterial large subunit ribosomal RNA
Source: Rfam by way of RNAcentral